GACGAACGCUGGCGGCGCGCCUAACACAUGCAAGUCGAACGGAGCUUGCUUGUCAGAUCCUUUCGGGGUGACGACUUGUAAGCUUAGUGGCGAACGGGUGAGUAACACGUGAGUAACCUGCCCCAGAGUGGGGGACAACAGUUGGAAACGACUGCUAGUACCGCAUAAGCCCACGGAACCGCAUGGUUCUGGGGGAAAAAGGAGCAAUUCGCCCUGGGAUGGACUCGCGUCCGAUUAGCUGGAUGGUGAGGUAACGGCCCACCAUGGCGACGAUCGGUAGCCGGACUGAGAGGUUGAUCGGCCACAUUGGGACUGAGACACGGCCCAG
RNAcentral lists this ribosomal RNA (328 nucleotides) under uncultured bacterium. Its description in RNAcentral is "bacterial SSU rRNA". It matches the Rfam family "Bacterial small subunit ribosomal RNA", at positions 28 to 334 of the family's 1533-position model. The record is from RNAcentral.